RNAcentral lists this ribosomal RNA (500 nucleotides) under uncultured bacterium. RNAcentral's name for it is "partial 16S ribosomal RNA". It matches the Rfam family "Bacterial small subunit ribosomal RNA", at positions 28 to 507 of the family's 1533-position model. The record is from RNAcentral.
GACGAACGCUGGCGGCGUGCCUAAUACAUGCAAGUCGAGCGGACUUGAAGGAGUGCUUGCACUCCUGAGAGUUAGCGGCGGACGGGUGAGUAACACGUAGGCAACCUGCCCUCAAGACUGGGAUAACUACCGGAAACGGUAGCUAAUACCGGAUAAUUUAUUACAUAGCAUUAUGUGAUAAUGAAAGACGGAGCAAUCUGUCACUUGGGGAUGGGCCUGCGGCGCAUUAGCUAGUUGGUGGGGUAACGGCCCACCAAGGCGACGAUGCGUAGCCGACCUGAGAGGGUGAACGGCCACACUGGGACUGAGACACGGCCCAGACUCCUACGGGAGGCAGCAGUAGGGAAUCUUCCGCAAUGGGCGAAGGCCUGACGGAGCAACGCCGCGUGAGUGAUGAAGGUUUUCGGAUCGUAAAGCUCUGUUGCCAAGGAAGAACGUCUCAUAGAGUAACUGCUAUGAGAGUGACGGUACUUGAGAAGAAAGCCCCGGCUAACUACGUG